GUUCGUAAGAACAGGGUAUGACGGAGCGGCGAACGGGUGAGUAACACGUGAGCAACCUGCCCCACAGACCGGGAUAGCCCAAGGAAACUUGGAUUAAUACCGGAUUCCCUCGAACAACCGCAUGGUUGAUCGAGGAAAGGCCUUUGUGCUGUGGGAUGGGCUCGCGGCUUAUCGGCUAGUUGGUGGGGUAAAGGCCUACCAAGGCAUCGACGAGUAGCUGGUCUGAGAGGACGAUCAGCCACACUGGAACUGAGACACGGUCCAGACUCCUACGGGAGGCAGCAGCAGGGAAUCUUGCGCAAUGGGCGAAAGCCUGACGCAGCAACGCCGCGUGGGGGAUGAAGGCCUUCGGGUUGUAAACCCCUUUCAGGAGGGAAGAAAUUGACGGUACCUCCAGAAGAAGGACCGGCCAACUACGUGCCAGCAGCCGCGGUAAUACGUAGGGUCCUAGCGUUAUCCGGAAUCAUUGGGCGUAAAGAGCUCGUAGGCGGUUCAGCAAGUCGGCUGUGAAAGUCCGAGGCUUAACCUCGGAAUUGCAGUCGAUACUGCUGUGACUCGAGUCCGGUAGAGGAGAAUGGAAUUCUCGGUGUAGCGGUGAAAUGCGCAGAUAUCGAGAGGAACACCAGUAGCGAAGGCGGUUCUCUGGGCCGGCACUGACGCUGAGGAGCGAAAGCGUGGGGAGCAAACAGGAUUAGAUACCCUGGUAGUCCACGCC
This 715-nucleotide ribosomal RNA is filed under the name uncultured Actinomycetes bacterium. RNAcentral's name for it is "bacterial SSU rRNA". It matches the Rfam family "Bacterial small subunit ribosomal RNA", at positions 75 to 801 of the family's 1533-position model. Lineage: Bacteria; Bacillati; Actinomycetota; Actinomycetes. The record is from RNAcentral.